AACGAACGCUGGCGGCAUGCCUAACACAUGCAAGUCGAACGAUGCCUUCGGGCAUAGUGGCGCACGGGUGCGUAACGCGUGGGAAUCUGCCUUUCGGUUCGGAAUAACUCAGGGAAACUUGAGCUAAUACCGGAUAACGUCGCAAGACCAAAGAUUUAUCACCGAAAGAUGAGCCCGCGUAGGAUUAGCUAGUUGGUGAGGUAAAGGCUCACCAAGGCGACGAUCCUUAGCUGGUCUGAGAGGAUGAUCAGCCACACUGGGACUGAGACACGGCCCAGACUCCUACGGGAGGCAGCAGUGGGGAAUAUUGGACAAUGGGCGAAAGCCUGAUCCAGCAAUACCGCGUGAGUGAUGAAGGCCUUAGGGUUGUAAAGCUCUUUUACCCGGGAAGAUAAUGACGGUACCGGGAGAAUAAGCCCCGGCUAACUCCGUG
RNAcentral lists this ribosomal RNA (433 nucleotides) under uncultured bacterium. RNAcentral's name for it is "partial 16S ribosomal RNA". It matches the Rfam family "Bacterial small subunit ribosomal RNA", at positions 29 to 507 of the family's 1533-position model. The record is from RNAcentral.